UUCUCAACGUUCGACCUCUAGCCUCGAAUUCCCAAAACAACAAUAUUUCUCUCAUAAGUUUCAAAACAACAAUAUUUCUCUAAUAAGUUUUGAAAACAAUAAUAUUAAUAUUAAAGGUCCGCUCAACAGAAGCAACACAGUAAUCACGGAUUUUAGAAUUUAAAUGUUUUAAAAAUUAUCCGUUAGUAGUUGAGUACGCGUGUUAAUAGUUAAAUACAUUUCUUUUUGUAUUUGACUCUCUAUUGUUUAUAUGUUUUAAUGAAUCUUUUGAUUUUGUAAUUUUAUGAGAUUUUAUAUUUGGGAUUUUUUUUUUUUUUUUGUUUUUAUUUUAGACCUUGAGAAAAUUGACGUAGGAAUCUGACAAAUAUGAGAAAAAUAAGACUAUUUAUAUGAAAAAAGAUGAUAUUUAUAAAAUUUGUUUUAAAAUGAGUUCUUUUCAAGAAAAUUUCAAAUAAAUCAAUCACCAUAUUAAAGGUAGGAACAUUUUUUUUUGUUGAAAUUUUAAGUUAUUUUUGCAAGUAUUAUUCUUUUUUAACUUUUUAAAUUCAAGGGUAAUUUUUAAAUUUUUAGAAGUUCGGGAAUAUUUUUUAUUUAGAACACUAACAACUUUCCUCCAUAAUGAUAAAGGUGUUUUUCAAUCAUUUUUAAAGUUUUAAGAGUAUUUUUAAAAUUUUUGAAAGUUCAACAAAAAAAAAAAAAAGUUAUUAGUGUUCUAUGUGUAUUUUUUUCAGCAUUUAGAACACUAACAACUCGGAUAUAAUUCAGCAUUUUUUUCUCCUUUUCCAUGUGUAUUUCAAUAACAUCACAUGUGGACCCUCAAAUUAAAAAGUUAAAAAGUAAGAAAGAUGUUAGAAAUUAGUUUAAAAAAAAGAGGUUACUUUUGAACACCCAAUAACUUUUUAGAUUAGAAAUAAAUAUUUUUCCGUGUUAAUGUUUUAUUAUUAAAAUUUAUUGUUAAUAUACGGUUGUUUUGAGGCUUAUUAUACAAAUUUAGGCCCGAACCAUGAAAAGACAAAAAUGAACAUGACCCAUUUUGAAAAGCUUCUUUCACGGUUUGGCCCACCGAGCUCUAUAAUCAGGGAAGACAAAUCACUUCCAACCCUUCAUCUUCCUUGAUUUCGCUCCAACAGUGUCAUUCUUCUUCCCCUUCGAUUUCACUCCAAACUUCAGAAGGAAAAUGUAUUAAUUGUUCCUGAAACUGAAUGGACAAACCUGUUGAAAGUCAACUCUUCAUAAGGCUGAAAUUGAAAUUGCUAAGGACAAGGAGGCCCAAGAAAAGGGUGUUCAAGAGAAUGACCAGCAAAAACAAUUGCAAGAUGAAUAGAAAGAUCCUGAAGAUGAAGAGAAAGAUCCCCAAGAUGAAGAGGAAGAUCAAGAAGAAAAAAUGAUAAAGAUAAAAAAGCGGAAGAGAAUGUAGAUAAAGAAGAUAUGACCAAAAAGAAUAUAAGUAUUGUUUGAUUGAUGUUUUUAAGUAUAAGAUAUUAGCAUGUUAUUAGUGAUAUCUGAAAUCAUUGAUAAUCAACUAUCAAUGAUAAUACACUAUUUCUGAUAGUUUGUUAUCAGUGAUAGUAUAAAUAAUAGGAAGCUUUAUUUACUUGACUGAUAUUGAUAGCACAUUGAUGGAUGUCAUGUUAUAUUUGAUUCCAUGAUUUUAGAUUAGUGAAAAGACAAGUCAAAAAAAGUAUAGACCAAAGGUUGUGUGGUCGAAAAUAUGGAGGACAACAAGAGACCAAAACAACCAAAAAAACCAACCAAGAAAAUUUAAAUAUUUGAUAUACAUUACUAUUUUGUUUAAUGUUUGAUAUUUUUAGGUUUGCGUUCUCCAAAAUUUGACCACAACCUGUGAUCUAUAUUUUUUUGGACUCUUUUUAAGAGUCUGAAAUCAUGGAAUCAAAUAUAACAUGACAUCUAUAAGUGUGCUAAGUCAAAAAGCUUCCUAUUAUUUAUACUAUUACCGAUAACAAACUAUCUGUGAUAGUGUGUUAUCACUGAUAGUUGGUUAUCAGUGAUUUCAGAUAUCACUGAUAGCAUGUUAAUCUUAUACCUAAAAAAAUUAAUCAAUCAAUAUUUACCUUCUCUUUGGUCAUAUCUUCUUUACCUACAUUCUCUUUCUAUUCUUUAUCUUUAUCCUUUUUUUCUUCUUAAUCUUCCCCUUCAUCUCCAGGAUCUUUUUUUUCAUCUUCAAGAUCUUUCUCUGCUGGUUAUUCUUUUGAAUAUCCUUUUCUUGGGCCUCCUUGUCCUUAAGGGUUUCAAUUUCAACUUCCAUGCAUAUAUCAUUUAUGUUAUUGUACUUCUUUAUAGAAAAAGAAAAUCACAAAUUUUACCUCUAGAACUUCCAAACUUGCAUCUAAAAGUUCCAAACUAGAUGAUGGCACUUUGUUCUUCUCAAGAGAUUCUUGAGAUUGCUUUUCACCACCUUCUUCUUUUUGUGGAAGUUUAUCACUGAUAGCUUCUUCAAUUCCUUCUUGUAAUGAUGAAAAAUUUAUGACAUUUGUUUUCCUUUUUUUUUCUUUUUCCUUUUCAAUAUCCAUCUCCCUUGUUUCCAGCUCUGCAAAAUAGCCAUAAUAGUUUGAUUGUAAUUCUUGUUCAAUUGGAACCAAUGAAGCAACGGUAAACUAAAAGUUUAAUAAAGAUGUUAGUGAUACAGCAUGUUUAUAGAAACAAUCACUGAUUUCAAGCUAUCACCGAUUGCUUCUAUCUACGAUAACAUGCUAUCAAUGAUAGAAGAUAUUGCUAUUGAUAUGUUGCCAAUCAUUAGGUUUUUUAGAUUCCCAAUGAGUAAGUCUAGGUCCAUUGCUUUUUAUUCUUCGUGCAAAUCCAAUAGUGGAGUUAGAUAAUCUUGGUAUAAUUUCAAAAGCCCAAUAUACCAAAGCAAGUGGGAAGAUGACUUAUUGAUGACAACCUUCUUAAAAAACUCUGUUAGUUCAAAGGAAACCAUGCCCCAUGGAUAAGAUCUAAAUUUUCUUCAUCAUCCAACAUUUUUAAAUGCUUCCAACUUAUUAUGUCCUUGUGUAGGAAUUAGGAAGCUUUCUAGAAAAUACAAGUGUACAAGUUUGACCUUUAUAUCAAUGGGUAUAUUGGCAUCAGAACCUAACAAUUUAAAAGUAGGUUAGAGCUCUCUCCUUAUAAUUUUAAUCUUUGUCUUGAAAAAGAAGUUACUAAUUGUGUUGUCCAUCGAUUCUUGUUCACUAUAGAUACCAACUACAGGGUAAUCAUCACAAUUUAAACCCGUUACUAAUUUUGAAAUAUGUCUUUCUAAAUUAAAGGUCAAGAUAUUUUGUUUUGUAGUUGUGGAUUGUCUUCUAAUUAGUUGUGAUAUGAGUUGGUUGGGCAUCAUUUUCAUUUUCAUAUCUAAGUGCCCAAAAGGAUAUUUCUUAAAUAGUUGGAGUGAUGACUUAUCUAAUUUUCCUAUGUUAGAUAGGACUUCUAAAGUUAUGAAGGAGCUGACUUUCAACGGGUUUGUCCAUUCACUUUCUGGAGCAAUGAAUACAUUUUUCUGUAUAUAUAAUAACAUAAAUAUAAGAGAAAAGAAACCACAAAUCUAUAUAAAUUUAUAAAAUAUCAUUAGAUUGUGGACCUUGAUCUUCAUACUAUUAGUGAUAGCAAUAAAAGUGUAUCACGGAUAACAAUAAUAGUGAUAGAUACUAUUGCUAUAAAUAAACAAUAAGCAAAUCAUAAUACAGGAAACGUAGAUAAAUCCAUCAACAAACUAUCAACAAACUGUCAACAUAUUCACUAAAACAUCAAUGAUAACUUCUAUCACUAAUAACUAACUAAAUUAGCAAAAUAUUCAUUGAAACAUCAGCAAAUCACAAUCAAACAUAGUACAAUAAACUUCACAUAAUUAGCAAUCAAAUACAAUCAACAACAAACUAUCAACAUAUUCACCGAAAAACAGCAAAUCACAAUCAGCAUAUCAACAAAUAAACUUCACAUAAUCAACUUUUUUUUAGAAAGAAAAGCUAUCACAGUGACCAAAAUGUAUAAUAAAACAGUGAACGAAAUACCUAAAAAAGAUGAAAAAUGCAUGUAGCCCUAAUUUGAAGGGAAUCAUUGAGUUAUCAAUAACUAUCAACAAAUAUCAACAAAAUAUUAGCAAAUAUCAUAUUAGGAAGAAUCGAAAUUAUCUGUCAAUGGAAGAAGUCCAAAGCCCUACGUUUUCAAAGUUUUGCUAUCAAUGAUGAAGAGAUGAAGAAACGAAGAAAUGAAGAAGAAGAAG
This is a non-coding RNA of Benincasa hispida (wax gourd), 4219 nucleotides long. NCBI's taxonomy places the organism in Eukaryota, Viridiplantae, Streptophyta, Magnoliopsida, Cucurbitales, Cucurbitaceae. The record is from RefSeq and is a predicted model, not a curated record.